GGUACUUCUCAGUCUGUGGCACUCAGCCUUGAGGGCACUUUCUGGUGCCAGAAUGAAAGUGCUGUCAUAGCUGAGGUCCAAUGACUGAGGCGAGCACC
Molecule: microRNA precursor, 98 nt
Filed under: Homo sapiens (human)
Lineage: Eukaryota; Metazoa; Chordata; Mammalia; Primates; Hominidae
Description: microRNA hsa-mir-512 precursor (hsa-mir-512-2)
Gene: hsa-mir-512-2
Rfam family: mir-512 microRNA precursor family (bases 7-90)
Source: miRBase by way of RNAcentral